Long non-coding RNA from Anguilla anguilla (European eel), 1843 nucleotides. RefSeq lists it as uncharacterized. NCBI's taxonomy places the organism in Eukaryota, Metazoa, Chordata, Actinopteri, Anguilliformes, Anguillidae. The record is from RefSeq and is a predicted model, not a curated record. The transcript has 3 exons.
AGAGAGGAAUGGAUAUUACCUUGGAAAGUUACUGAUGCUUGUGAUCAAGUGGAUGUAUGGACUGAUGUUUCUUCUAUAGACAGAUUGCAUGUGCGUGUGUGGCUGCAUACGACACAGGCACAGAUGGACCACGAGUCAUCUUCCUCCCACGUUCCCUCCCACUUACCAUGACCCCUCCGCCCCAUGCAGGAGUGACGCUGACCCCGGGCCACAUCGCGUACUCCAGUGCCAGCAACAACGCAGCCUCUCUGUCUGCAGGUGCAUCAACAUAGGAAACAGAUGGGGAAAUUGGGCAGAAACCAGGACUGAACCUCCAAAAACAGAAUCUUCCCUGGUCCAGACAGCACAGUCUGGCUCAUCGUCUUGGAUGCCAGAAGGCAAAGAUGGGAUCUACUCAUAACAUGGUUGAUUCAGUGACUCACUUCUCAGAUCCUUGAAGAAAGGGAAGGAGCUCCUGUGUCGGACGGAAGAUGAAGCUCUAGAUUCUCUCUGCUGAAAGCAUGUCCUCAGCUGAUAACACGGAGGAACUGCAGCACUGCACUUUCCUCUUGGACAGCUCAUUGUGGUUUCAUUUCAGUCUAUGUGUGUGUGUGUGCUUGCGUUCGUGUGCGAGCGCGCGUGCGUGUGUGUGUGUGUGUCGGGUACUGCUUGCAUGCUCCAUACAUUAUUCCUGCUGCCUUUCCCUCAUACAUGCUUUUGGUGGCAGGUAGGGCCACUGUGUCAGAGGAGUAACAGAACAGGUAAUGAAAAAGAAUGUGCAUCAUUACCAGAACAUGUCACAGCACAAAAUCUACACAGUUAAGCUAGAUGGUAUGGAAAAGGUUUGGAGGUGAGGUAGGGGGCAAUGAGCAUGUGCAGUUGUCAUGGCAUCAUAUAUCUUCGCCCAGGACAUAAAAACAAUGAAUGGUCAUGUCACUCAUUGAUGAAGGUUCCUAUUGCUGUUUGGAGGAACAGGUGUGAAAAUGUGUAUUACAUAUUUUCAUCAUGGGGUUUAAUACAUCUUCUGACAUGUCUCUUAACUAUCUCUGGGGAAUCUUUCGUCUGAGGGAAAGCUACUACACAGAAUUAUGUUUAAAACCUUUCAAAUUAAGGUUGUUGUGUGUAUAGAAAUGGUACCUACUACAUCAAAGACAUAUUGUAAAUUGGUUUACUUACUAAUAAUUCCAUCGUCUGUCCUGUCACUUAUGCCUGAACCUAGGAGUACCUCAUUGCACCCAAUUAUAAUCUUUCACUUGAAAUUCAAGGUUAGGCAAAGCAAAGAUUCCACUGGCAUUGCGUUGAGGUAAAAAUACCAUAGCAUCACUGAUAAGCAAAUGGUAUAAAGGAUAGAACAUUUUUCUAGUGUCAGGUUAACUCUGUGAGUGCAAUAUUUAAAUUCUAACCUACUUCUCAGUGCUGUGAAAGGCUGUAACUGUGGAGAUGAGUUGAAAGCCAGUAUGGGUAAACUGCAUUCUAAUUAUCACUGGAUCAACUGUUGUGCAUUACAAUUUCUCCCUCUCACUCACUCACUCACACACACACACACACACACACAGGCACACACUUGUAAAUAUCCAGGCACGCGUACCCAAUCGAGCAGAAGAAUCAAACAGCUAUGCUGUUAUUUCAUGUCACUCGAAAAGAAAAGAGGGACAUCCACCGCGGUGCGGCUGCUGGCUAAGGAUGACAGCUGCGAGCAUCAAAAUCCUUGGAGUGGCUUUAUUUCACAGAGUUGCACACACUCAGGAGGCAGAGCUAAAUUUAACACACAGGCUCUGGCAGCUCCAUGCAGCAGCCAAAUUAUCAACGAUGCACUGAGAUGGUGAGAGCGCCUGGGAUAAUCCCAGCCUUCUGAAAUAGUUAU